AACGAACGCUGGCGGCAUGCCUAACACAUGCAAGUCGAACGAGACCUUCGGGUCUAGUGGCGCACGGGUGCGUAACGCGUGGGAACCUGCCCUUAGGUUCGGAAUAACUCCCCGAAAGGGGUGCUAAUACCGGAUAAUGUCUUCGGACCAAAGAUUUAUCGCCUUUGGAUGGGCCCGCGUUGGAUUAGCUAGUUGGUAGGGUAAAAGCCUACCAAGGCGACGAUCCAUAGCUGGUCUGAGAGGAUGAUCAGCUACACUGGGACUGAGACACGGCCCAGACUCCUACGGGAGGGAGCAGUAGGGAAUAUUGGACGAUGGGCGAAAGCCUGAUCCAGCAAUGCCGCGUGAGUGAUGAAGGCCUUAGGGUUGUAAAGCUCUUUUACCCGGGAUGAUAAUGACAGUACCGGGAGAAUAAGCUCCGGCUAACUCCGUG
This 433-nucleotide ribosomal RNA is filed under the name uncultured bacterium. Its description in RNAcentral is "partial 16S ribosomal RNA". It matches the Rfam family "Bacterial small subunit ribosomal RNA", at positions 29 to 507 of the family's 1533-position model. The record is from RNAcentral.